ACUCCUACGGGAGGCAGCAGUGGGGAAUAUUGGACAAUGGGCGCAAGCCUGAUCCAGCCAUGCCGCGUGAGUGAUGAAGGCCCUAGGGUUGUAAAGCUCUUUCACCGGUGAAGAUAAUGACGGUAACCGGAGAAGAAGCCCCGGCUAACUUCGUGCCAGCAGCCGCGGUAAUACGAAGGGGGCUAGCGUUGUUCGGAUUUACUGGGCGUAAAGCGCACGUAGGCGGACUAUUAAGUCAGGGGUGAAAUCCCGGGGCUCAACCCCGGAACUGCCUUUGAUACUGGUAGUCUUGAGUUCGAGAGAGGUGAGUGGAAUUCCGAGUGUAGAGGUGAAAUUCGUAGAUAUUCGGAGGAACACCAGUGGCGAAGGCGGCUCACUGGCUCGAUACUGACGCUGAGGUGCGAAAGCGUGGGGAGCAAACAGGAUUAGAAACCCUGGUAGUCCCAUG
This 448-nucleotide ribosomal RNA is filed under the name uncultured organism. Its description in RNAcentral is "partial 16S ribosomal RNA". It matches the Rfam family "Bacterial small subunit ribosomal RNA", at positions 335 to 799 of the family's 1533-position model. The record is from RNAcentral.